Molecule: ribosomal RNA, 422 nt
Filed under: uncultured Glomeromycotina
Lineage: Eukaryota; Fungi; Glomeromycota
Description: SSU rRNA
Rfam family: Eukaryotic small subunit ribosomal RNA
Source: RNAcentral
GGUAUGUACUAGCCUGCCGAUUCCUCCUUCUUGUAGAACCGUAAUGCCAUUAAUUUGGUGUUGCGGGGAAACAGGACUGUUACUUUGAAAAAAUUAGAGUCGUUUAAAGCAGGCUAGCGCCUGAAUACAUUAGCAUGGAAUAAUGAAAUAGGACGUUCGAACCUGUUUUGUUGGUUUCUAGGAUUGACGUAAUGAUUAAUAGGGAUAGUUGGGGGCAUUAGUAUUCAAUUGUCAGAGGUGAAAUUCUUGGAUUUAUUGAAGACUGACUACUGCGAAAGCAUUUGCCAAGGAUGUUUUCAUUAAUCAAGAACGAAAGUUAGGGGAUCGAAGACGAUCAGAUACCGUCGUAGUCUUAACCAUAAACUAUGCCGACUAGGGAUCGGAUGAUGUUAAUUUUUUAAUGACUCAUUCGGCGCCUUACG